CGGGCUAGAGCUUUAUAUAAGCGUUUUAUUUACAUUAAAAAGUUAUUUGUGAAAUUCAAUUUGGCUUGA
RNAcentral lists this transfer RNA (69 nucleotides) under Semanotus bifasciatus. Its description in RNAcentral is "tRNA-Val". The record is from RNAcentral. Lineage: Eukaryota; Metazoa; Arthropoda; Insecta; Coleoptera; Cerambycidae.